This is a non-coding RNA of Pelobates cultripes (western spadefoot toad), 665 nucleotides long. NCBI's taxonomy places the organism in Eukaryota, Metazoa, Chordata, Amphibia, Anura, Pelobatidae. The record is from the annotation of a GenBank genome assembly.
ACACACACACACCAUGACAGACACACACCUUAAAAAAGACACACACACCUUGACACACACACACACCAUAACACAGACAGACCGUGACACACAGACACACACACCACGACACAGAGAGACUGUGACACAGACACACACACACCGUGACACAGACAGACACAUAUUACAUGACACAGACAAACACACACACACACCAUGGCACACACAGACCGUGACACAGACACACAUUACAUGACAGACACACACACACACCAUGACACAGACAGACCGUGACACACAGACACACCACGACACAGAGAGACCGUGACACAGACACACACACACCGUGACAGACAGACACACAUUACAUGACACAGACAAACACAUACACACACCAUGACACACACAGACCGUGACACAGACAGACACACAUUACAUGACAGACACACAUUGCAUGACACAGACAGACGCACACACCAUGACAGACAGUGACACACACACCAUGACACAGAGACACACACAAUGACACAGACAGACACACACACACCAUGACAGACAGUGACACACACACCAUGACAGACAGUGACACACACACCAUGACACAGAGACACAAACAAUGACACAGACACACAUUGCUGACAGAGACAGACACUCACACACCAUGACACAGACAGACACACACACAC